This 632-nucleotide ribosomal RNA is filed under the name uncultured Singulisphaera sp. RNAcentral describes it as "bacterial SSU rRNA". It matches the Rfam family "Bacterial small subunit ribosomal RNA", at positions 8 to 661 of the family's 1533-position model. The record is from RNAcentral. Lineage: Bacteria; Pseudomonadati; Planctomycetota; Planctomycetia; Isosphaerales; Isosphaeraceae.
AGAGAUCAUGGCUCAGAAUGAACGUUGGCGGCGUGGAUUAGGCAUGCAAGUCGUACGGGCCGCAAGGCCAGUGGCGCAAGGGUGGGUAAGGCGACGGCAACCAACCCCAUGGCCGGGUAUAGCCGCGGGAAACCGCGGGUAAUCCCCGGCGACGCAACCGGCCGGCAUCGGCCGGUUGCCAAAGCUCCGGCGCCGUGGGACGGGCCGUCGUGGUAUUAGGUCGUUGGCGGGGUAAUGGCCCACCAAGCCUGCGAUGCCUACCGGGCGUGCGAGCGCGGCCCGGCACACUGGGACUGAGACACUGCCCAGACUCCUACGGGAGGCUGCAGUCGAGAAUCUUCGGCAAUGGGCGCAAGCCUGACCGAGCGACGCCGCGUGGAGGACGAAGGUCCUCGGGUUGUAAACUCCUGUCGAGGGGGAAGAAGGUCCCGCAAGGGGCUUGACUGAUCCCUGUAGGAAGCACGGGCUAAGUUCGUGCCAGCAGCCGCGGUAAGACGAACCGUGCGAACGUUAUUCGGAAUCACUGGGCUUAAAGCGCGUGUAGGCGGGCCGGCACGUCGGUCGCUGAAAUCCCCCGGCUCAACCGGGGAAGGGGCGCCGAUACGACCGGUCUGGAGGGGCGUAGGGGGAUC